Molecule: ribosomal RNA, 449 nt
Filed under: uncultured bacterium
Lineage: Bacteria
Description: partial 16S ribosomal RNA
Rfam family: Bacterial small subunit ribosomal RNA
Source: RNAcentral
AGCGAACGCUGGCGGCAGGCCUAACACAUGCAAGUCGAACGGAUCCUUCGGGAUUAGUGGCGGACGGGUGAGUAACACGUGGGAACGUGCCCUUUGGUCCGGAACAACUCAGGGAAACUUGAGCUAAUACCGGAUGUGCCCUUCGGGGGAAAGAUUUAUCGCCAUUGGAGCGGCCCGCGUCUGAUUAGCUAGCUGGUGAGGUAAAGGCUCACCAAGGCGACGAUCAGUAGCUGGUCUGAGAGAAUGAUCAGCCACAUUGGGACUGAGACACGGCGCAAACUCCUACGGGAGGCAGCAGUGGGGAAUCUUGCGCAAUGGGCGAAAGCCUGACGCAGCCAUGCCGCGUGAAUGAUGAAGGUCUUAGGAUUGGAAAAGUCCUUCACCGGGGACGAUAAUGACGGUACCCGGAGAAGAAGCCCCGGCUAACUUCGUGCCAGCCGCCGCGGUAA